UUAUUUUUCUUUUUCUAGUUUCAUAGUUUAUUCUUCUUUUACUCAUAGCCGAGAGGUUUGUUAAUUUAUGAAUCUUUCAGUGCAAUUUGCUUUUCUAAUUUUUUUUAAGAAUUCGAUUUUUUAAUUCACGUUUUCUAUUAUUGUCCUCUUUCUCUUGAAACAUACAUUUUCUCUCUGUAAUUUUCUCAUGUCGAUCUUAUAUGGUUUUUUAUGUUUUAAAAAUUAUACUUGGGUUAUCUGAUGGUUUCAAAAUCAGAUUUUAAUUUCUGACUCUGCUUAUAUUUUAUUUUGAAAAUAAAUUUCAUGAUAAAGUCCAAAAAUCAUAAUUUGUUUCUUUUUUAAUAUCCUUGUUACUGUAAAAUUUU
Molecule: long non-coding RNA, 365 nt
Filed under: Brassica rapa (field mustard)
Lineage: Eukaryota; Viridiplantae; Streptophyta; Magnoliopsida; Brassicales; Brassicaceae
Description: long non-coding RNA (BRAP_LNC000349)
Source: RNAcentral